ACAAGUUGACAAGAGCAUCGGGUGGAUGCCUUGGCGUCGGAAGGCGAUGAAAGACGUGGUAAGCUGCGAAAAGCCUCGGGGAGAAGCUAAACAUUCUGUGAUCCGGGGAUUUCUGAAUGGGGAAACCCGGCGGAGGUCAUGCUCCGUCGCGGGCACUUGAAUACAUAAAGUGUCCAGCGCCAACUCAGGGAAGUGAAACAUCUCAGUACCUGAAGGAAAAGAAAUCAAACGAGACUCCCAAAGUAGCGGCGAGCGAAAUGGGAUGAGCCCAAACCGGCUGGAUUCGUUCAGCCGGGGUUGUAGGGCCGGCAUAUGUGAUUCAUGAGUAGGCAGGGGAAAUGAGCUGGAAAGCUCUGCCAGAGCGGGUGACAGCCCCGUACCUGAAACCGAAAGCGACACAGCCGGUACCUGAGUACCGCGAGACACGUGGAACCUCGUGGGAAUCCGGGAGGACCAUCUUCCAAGGCUAAGUACUAACCGACGACCGAUAGUGUACCAGUACCGUGAGGGAAAGGUGAAAAGAACCUCUGUUAGAGGAGUGAAAUAGAAUCUGAAACCUGGUGCUUACAAGCUGUGAGAGCGGACUUGUUCCGUGAUCACGUGCCUUUUGCAUAAUGAGUCAGCGAGUUAAUCUGUACUGCAAGGUUAAGCGCAAGUGGAGCCGUAGGGAAACCGAGUCUGACAAGGGCGAUGAGUAGUGCGGAUUAGACCCGAAACCGGGUGAUCUAUCCAUGAGCAGGUUGAAGCAAGGGUAAAACCUUGUGGAGGACCGAACCAAUACCGGCUGAAAACGGUUUGGAUGACUUGUGGAUAGGGGUGAAAGGCCAAUCAAACCCGGUGAUAGCUGGUUCUCCCCGAAAUAUAUUGAGGUAUAGCCUCAUGGAUUGUCUACCGGAGGUAAAGCACUGACAGGGCUAGGGGUCCUACCAGAUUACCAAACCCUAUCAAACUCAGAAUGCCGGUCAGAUGUACCAUGGGAGUCAGACGGCGGGUGCUAAGGUCCGUCGUCGAGAGGGUAAGAGCCCAGAUCAACAGCUAAGGUCUCCAAAUCUAUGCUCAGUGGUUAAGGUGGUGACGUUGUAGAGACACCCAGGACGUUGGCUUAGAAGCAGCCAUCGUUUAAAGAAAGCGUAAUAGCUCACUGGUCUAAUGACGUUGCGCCGAAAAUGUAACGGGGCUAAGCAUAGUACCGAAGCUUUGAAUUCCGCAUAUGCGGUCUGGUAGGGGAGCGUUCUUCACGGGCUGAAGGUGUGUCGUAAGGCAUGCUGGACUGUGGAGAAGUGAUUAUGCUGACAUGAGUAACGAUAAAACGGGUGAAAAACCCGUUCGCCGUAAACCCAAGGUUUUCCGGGUAAAGGUAAUCUUCCCGGAGUUAGUCGGCCCCUAAGGCGAGGCUGAAAGGCGUAGCUGAUGGGAAACGUGUUAAUAUUCACGUACUUGUGUGUUCGCGCGAUGAAGGGACGCAGGAAGAUAGGCAAGCCGGGCGCUGGUUGUCCCGGUGCAAGCGUGUAGGGAUGAGAAGUUGGCAAAUCCGCUUCUCUCUAUCCUGAGACGCGAGUCCGUGACCGAAAGGUCUGAAGUUGUUGAGUCUAUGCUGCCUAGAAAAGCUUCUAAGUAUAGGACACGCAAACCGUACCGGAAACCAACUCAGGUGGGUGGGAUGAAUAAUCCAAGGCGCUCGAGAGAACUCUGGCCAAGGAACUCGGCAAAAUAACCCCGUACCUUCGGAAGAAGGGGUGCUUUUUAGGGUGAAGCGAUUCACUCUGUCGAGCCCUGAAAAGCCGCAGAGAAAUGGUGGUGGCGACUGUUUACUAAAAACAUAGGUCUGUGCCAAGUCGUAUAGACGACGUAUACGGACUGACGCCUGCCCGGUGCUGGAAGGUUAAAAGGAGGAGUCAGCGCAAGCGAAGCUCCGAAUUGAAGCCCCAGUAAACGGCGGCCGUAACUAUAACGGUCCUAAGGUAGCGAAAUUCCUUGUCGGGUAAGUUCCGACCUGCACGA
RNAcentral lists this ribosomal RNA (2001 nucleotides) under human gut metagenome. RNAcentral describes it as "bacterial LSU rRNA". It matches the Rfam family "Bacterial large subunit ribosomal RNA", at positions 1 to 1995 of the family's 2925-position model. The record is from RNAcentral.